This 433-nucleotide ribosomal RNA is filed under the name uncultured bacterium. RNAcentral describes it as "bacterial SSU rRNA". It matches the Rfam family "Bacterial small subunit ribosomal RNA", at positions 28 to 481 of the family's 1533-position model. The record is from RNAcentral.
GACGAACGCUGGCGGCGUGCUUAACACAUGCAAGUCGAACGAUGAAGCCUUCGGGUGGAUUAGUGGCGAACGGGUGAGUAACACGUGGGCAAUCUGCCCUUGACUCUGGGAUAACUUCGGGAAACCGGAGCUAAUACCGGAUAUGACAUCUGGCCGCAUGGUCUGGGUGUGGAAAGAUUUAUCGGUCAGGGAUGAGCUCGCGGCCUAUCAGCUUGUUGGUGGGGUAANGGCCCACCAAGGCGACGACGGGUAGCCGGCCUGAGAGGGCGACCGGCCACACUGGGACUGAGACACGGCCCAGACUCCUACGGGAGGCAGCAGUGGGGAAUAUUGCGCAAUGGGCGAAAGCCUGACGCAGCGACGCCGCGUGAGGGAUGAAGGCCUCGGUCGUAACUCUUCUAGCAGGGAAGAAGACGAAAGUAGACGGUACCGU